GUUACCCCUUCCAUUCUUUGCUGAGCUUCGUGGAGUUUUAAAACUUUACUGCGUCAUUUAAAAUUUUCUUUUUACUUUUGCCAUUUCUUCUCUCCUGCUGUUGAACUCACCCACGCAGCAACAAGUUAGAGAACAAUUUGUUUUUAAUCAGUUAAAGGGUGCCCCCUAUUGUAUGGCAGAGAAAUAACUGAGUUUAUUUCAAGCAAGCCCAAUCCGGAGGUGGUGAUCGCGGUUUACAAAAUCAGUGUCCUGGGAGCUGAUCGUUUUCAGUCACAAAAGGAUUCGCCAUAGGACUUCUUUAAAAAUCCUUACGAGAAAAAUGCAUACAAAUAAAUGUGACAGUUUAAUGAGCAAACAUCAAGGUCAAGGCAGAGACCAUUGCCAGCACUCCAGAAGUCCCUCACAUGUCCCAUCACAGCCACCUCCUUCCCCCCACAGUGAUUAAGAAUCCUCCUGCCAACGCAGGGGACAUGGGUUCGAGCUCUGGU
Long non-coding RNA from Aethalodelphis obliquidens (Pacific white-sided dolphin), 488 nucleotides. RefSeq lists it as uncharacterized. Lineage: Eukaryota; Metazoa; Chordata; Mammalia; Artiodactyla; Delphinidae. The transcript has 3 exons. The record is from RefSeq and is a predicted model, not a curated record.